AUGCGAAUUGCAAGACCUCGUGAAUCAUCAAGAUUUUGAACGCACAUUGCGCUUUCGGGUAUUCCCGGUAGCAUGCUUGUCUGAGUGUCUGUGGAU
RNAcentral lists this ribosomal RNA (96 nucleotides) under Pseudo-nitzschia pungens. RNAcentral describes it as "partial 5.8S ribosomal RNA". It matches the Rfam family "5.8S ribosomal RNA", at positions 65 to 154 of the family's 154-position model. From Rfam's summary of the family: 5.8S ribosomal RNA (5.8S rRNA) is a component of the large subunit of the eukaryotic ribosome. It is transcribed by RNA polymerase I as part of the 45S precursor that also contains 18S and 28S rRNA. The record is from RNAcentral. Lineage: Eukaryota; Bacillariophyta; Bacillariophyceae; Bacillariales; Bacillariaceae.